AAAGUUAUAUAGUUAAUCACCUUCAGGAACUCUAAACAUACACCUUUUAUAAACAUUUAUUUCAUUCUUUUAUUUUUAUUAGGUUUAUAUGGCACCACCACCCUAACCUACACAACCCCAAAGAUAAACUUUUUAUUUGUAACAUGGAUCAAAACUUUGAAUAAGCUUAAAAAGAAUAACUAAAAUAGCAAAGAUAUGUCAAUUCUGGUCAUGGGGAAAUGUGUAGGUUUCAUGAAGAAAAAGUAUGUAACCUGCAAACAAAACAACAAAUAUCAUAUAAAAUUCUACAACACCAUCAAUUUAGAAUGCAGUGAUGUGUGUGUGAAUUGAACUAAAUCAACAACCCAUUCAUACCAUGUAGAGUAAACCUUUGAGUUAGCAACAUGUCUUUUUAUUACCAUGAGAGGUAUAGUCAAAGAAAAUCCAAAAAGAAUA
RNAcentral lists this long non-coding RNA (435 nucleotides) under Lactuca sativa (garden lettuce). Its description in RNAcentral is "long non-coding RNA (LSAT_LNC004463)". The record is from RNAcentral. Lineage: Eukaryota; Viridiplantae; Streptophyta; Magnoliopsida; Asterales; Asteraceae.